Molecule: long non-coding RNA, 2695 nt
Filed under: Mus musculus (house mouse)
Lineage: Eukaryota; Metazoa; Chordata; Mammalia; Rodentia; Muridae
Description: long non-coding RNA chr4:107872702-107875397
Source: RNAcentral
UCAUUUGAAUACAGUAUUUACAGAGGAUGUUUGAGUUGAGAGCUUUUUUAGGUUUGAGGGGCUUGAUUUUUUUGUAAAUAAAAUUAUGCUUUGUGGCUAUCCAUCAACAUAAGUAUAAAAAGAAAGAACGCUUCAACCCCCUUCCCCAUUUAGAUUAUUUAUUAACAUAUUUCGAAAGUAAGGUUAGCUCUAUAAAUAAUUUAGAGAGGUGAGAGUAUUUAUUUUUGGUAUGGCUGGCUCACUGCACAGACUCUGUGUUUAUGUGUGUGUGUCUGUGUGAGAGAAGAAAAAUCUGUAGAGAAGAGGCACGCUUAUGACUAUUGUUCAAAUACAUAAAAACAGUUAUUUUAAAACAGUCCACAAGAGGGGUGUCUAGUUUUCAGAGACACUUCAGAAACUUUGCUCAGAAAACAGAUGCUACAGUUUGUGCAGGCAUGCGGUAGGAAAGGUAGAUCACCUCUGGCUACUCCUGAGGCCCUGCUGAGCCAGCAAAAUGCUUUCCAGUUCCUCUUUGGCUCUCACGAUGCCCACCUAGGCUUUCUGGCCAGUGUACUGAACAGUGCUACAAGCCCUCAGGAGCUCAAGAUAGCAGAGUCCUUCUUUCAAAGCCCAGCUUAGUGAGGACUUGGGUCAACUUCAGUAAGCUUCCUCUGAAGCAACUGAAGGCCGAGCCUUUAGAGCAACCAUUGUCAACCUUUGUGGGUCGCCUAAGAGCAUCGCAAACCAGAUAUUUACAUUAUGAUUCAUAACAGUGACAAUCACAGUUAUGAGGUAGAAAGGAAAGGGAUUUUAUGGUUGGGGGUUAGUCCAACAAGAGGGACAGUGUUAAUGCUUCUGAAGCAUCAGGAAGGUUGAAAGCCACUGCUCUAGAGCCAAGUGAGUGCAUGUCUAGGGUUCCCAUGUUUACAGUAAGGACCGGCUCAGGCACUGACCCUCUGAGUCACGUGAAUGAGGACGAAGAAUUUGGAAUAGGUUUGGUUACAUCUAUUUCUCAUCCCCUUAUUUUCCACCAUUUAAAAAUAAUAAACAUGUUUCUUACCACCGUAUGUUCAUAUGGAUAAGACUAAGUCCAAAAAGGUGACUACAUCCAAAUUUAUAUUUCGGGGAAAUACCAUGAGAUAAUUAUAGCAUACUGGGCAUGUGUCCACACACGGAUUGGUUUCACUGCUUUAUAAAUAAAAGGAACAACUCUGGGUAUUUGUAUAGAAUUUUCUUCAUAUGUAACAUCUUUCCAUUUCCUGAGCCUUGGGGGUGGGGUGGGAGAAUGCCACUUGCUGUCUGUGAAGUCCACUGUUGGAAACAUAAUUCCAUAGUCCCAGAAGGAAUUCAGUCCCCACCAACUUACUCUUUCAAAGUGUGGUCUUCCCGCGACUCUGCAGCUCUGCAGUUCACUCCAGCUGAACGACCAGGGACAAGUACAACACAGGAGUUUGGCUUAAGUGGCAGCAGACUAAUAUCUAAAGUUGACAUAACUGAAAUCUGACAUUUGAGGCAUAUGUCUCCGCGUCCCCACACACCGGCUUGAGUGGCUCACCUGCUUGAUGUCCUUUCAACUUCCGGGGAGACCGUCUGGAGACCUGUCAUCCUGUCAUCCUGUUCCUAGGAGCUUGCUCUAUGUCACUCAUGUUUUCCUAACCUUUAAAAAAUGGCUGUGUUCCAAGCCUGGCCAUUAUGUCUGACAAUGCACGUGUUGAUGGUCUUGAGAUAUACAGUGACUAAAUGCAGCUGACCCCUGACCCAUUCCAAACAGUCUCAAGGACAGGCAGCUGAGUCCCCUGCAGCUCGCCUGUCACUGUUCAUCCAGGAAUGGAGAGGAGAAAUCAAGUUUACUAAAGAAAAAGGUUAGAAGUGAAAUCAUCAAAAUUUACACAAGAUAGGCAGGGUUUUUCCCUUUAAUCUGCCUCCAAGGAAACUGAAGCAGUGAUAGUGUAUAGUUUCUGAACAAACGUUCAUAGCCUAGCCUUCACAACAAGGCUGAAACAUACCGUCUAGGGUUUCCGAAAGAUGAAAGAAUUCAUAUCAGAAAUACCAUGUUUCCUGAAUGUGCCACAGCUGCAGUCUAAAAGCAGCCUACAGUAAACAGAUGGGCAAAUCCAGGGACGGCCGGAGAGCGGAAGCACUCUGAGGGACCAGACCGACCUCCUUCUAUCCUUGGAAACUUUUUGAGCCUCAUUCUGAGGUGUAAUUCAGACUUCUGUUGCCUUUCGCCUCUGCCUAUGUAUCCACAGCCAAUAACAGCUGAAAGGAAACUCAGUAAUAAACCAAAAGGACAGAAAAUUCAACAAACGUUACUUAUUAAAACGAAGCCAACCCCUUCCUUCUCUAGAAGACAACUCUGAGCAGCCUGAACAAGGUCUCAGACCUGCAUCCUCUCCACAGCUAUCUGCCCAGUGGAUUGAAGGCACUAACAGAAACGACUUUCCUGAAACAAGAAACUACAGCUUUGUUUACUCUUCAGAAUGUGUGUAUGUGUGUGCACAGAGGGACAGGAUGAGACGGCUUCUGACAAGGAGUAAGAAGAAUGAGACAGGAUUUAAACUGAUGUCAGUGAACACUGUUGAAGCCCUCCAGUUAUCCUCAUGUCUUAGUAACAUACUCAGAGUAUUCACUCGCUGCUGUGUGCCAGGCUUUGCAGACAUUGCAGGUCAAUUCAACAGUUUUCACCCUUUCCAAACUCACAGCAGUACAUAUGGAU